Molecule: long non-coding RNA, 202 nt
Filed under: Lathyrus oleraceus (garden pea)
Lineage: Eukaryota; Viridiplantae; Streptophyta; Magnoliopsida; Fabales; Fabaceae
Description: Pisum sativum (pea) long non-coding RNA (PSAT_LNC000446)
Source: RNAcentral
UUUUUUAUUUUAUUUUAGUUGUGUUUGUUUGCUUUGUUACUUUGUUUUAUCUUUGUGUGUCUGUUUUAUUUUCUUAAGUUACAGAUAAAAGUGGAUUCUACUGGAUAAUUGAUGGAUACUGACUAGUGAGGGAAAUAUGCAACCUCGGAUUUGCUCCCGAGGCAACUUGGAAGUUGAUACACGCUGAGAAAGAAAAUGUUGG